ACGGAAUAGAUACCCGGGUAGUCCCAGCUGUAAACGAUGCAGACUAGGUGUUUGGACGGCCACGUGCCGUUCUAGUGCCGCAGGGAAGCUGUUAAGUCUGCCGCCUGGGGAGUACGAUCGCAAGAUUGAAACUUAAAGGAAUUGGCGGGGGAGCACCACAGGGGGUGAAGCUUGCGGUUUAAUUGGAGUCAACGCCGGAAAUCUCACCGGGAGCGACAGCAGUAUGAAAGCCAGAUUGAAGGUCUUGCUAGACGAGCUGAGAGGAGGUGCAUGGCCGUCGCCAGUUCGUGCCGUGAGGUGUCCUGUUAAGUCAGGCAACGAUCGAGACCCGCGUCCUCUGUUGCAACCAGCUUUGUGCUGGGCACACUGAGGAGACCGCCACUGAUAAAGUGGGGGUAAGGAGCGGGCCACGGCAGGUCAGUAUGCCCCGGAAUCUCCCGGGCCACACGCGAGCUGCAAUGGCAAGUACAAUGGGUUCCGACCUCGAAAGGGGUAGGCAAUCUCGAAAGCUUGCCGUAGUUGGAAUUGAGGGUU
Molecule: ribosomal RNA, 534 nt
Filed under: uncultured bacterium
Lineage: Bacteria
Description: bacterial SSU rRNA
Rfam family: Archaeal small subunit ribosomal RNA
Source: RNAcentral